CUCUCUUUUUACUGUUCUUCUUUUCUCUCUCUCUCUCUCAUCCACCCAUUUUUCUCUUCCACCCUCGGCUCCAGCCUCGCAGACUCGCAGUAUUCACUUUCGUCACCCCGAAAGUCGGUGGAGUCGCCGUCUACGGCGGUAGGGGGAAAAUACAAUUUUUAAAUUUCGGCAGAAUAAAUCCGGAUCGAAUUGGAUUGAUGUUUGGGUUCGGUCCGUCAGAUCGUCGUUCGGGCCCGUCAGGGUCCGACCGCUGCUCACCCAUAUGCGGAGGGAGUGGUGUUGGCCUCAGUGGUGUAAAUAGAAGAAUAAGAACGUCCGCCGAUUGUUCGACAGAAUAUCUCAAUGAAAAAUAUGACGUUUUGAGUAUUGAUAUAUCAAGUUAUAUGAUUUUGUUAUAUUAAGUAUUGUUUUGUUAUCGAUAUUCAAAUUUAACAUUUAAAAUAACUCCAUUUCCUGUAAUUAAAUGUGAUUUAAUUGAGUUUGUAUUAUAUUUGUUCUUAAA
Molecule: long non-coding RNA, 502 nt
Organism: Salvia miltiorrhiza (redroot sage)
Lineage: Eukaryota; Viridiplantae; Streptophyta; Magnoliopsida; Lamiales; Lamiaceae
Exons: 2
Source: RefSeq, a predicted model, not a curated record